This 492-nucleotide ribosomal RNA is filed under the name uncultured bacterium. RNAcentral's name for it is "partial 16S ribosomal RNA". It matches the Rfam family "Bacterial small subunit ribosomal RNA", at positions 29 to 507 of the family's 1533-position model. The record is from RNAcentral.
AGUGAACGCUGGCGGUAGGCCUAACACAUGCAAGUCGAACGGCAGCACAGUAAGAGCUUGCUCUUACGGGUGGCGAGUGGCGGACGGGUGAGGAAUACAUCGGAAUCUACUUUUUCGUGGGGGAUAACGUAGGGAAACUUACGCUAAUACCGCAUACGACCUACGGGUGAAAGCAGGGGAUCUUCGGACCUUGCGCGAUUGAAUGAGCCGAUGUCGGAUUAGCUAGUUGGCGGGGUAAAGGCCCACCAAGGCGACGAUGCGUAGCUGGUCUGAGAGGAUGAUCAGCCACACUGGAACUGGGACACGGUCCAGACUCCUACGGGAGGCAGCAGUGGGGAAUAUUGGACAAUGGGCGCAAGCCUGAUCCAGCCAUACCGCGUGGGUGAAGAAGGCCUUCGGGUUGUAAAGCCCUUUUGUUGGGAAAGAAAAGCAGCAGGUUAAUACCCCGCUGUUCUGACGGUACCCAAAGAAUAAGCACCGGCUAACUUCGUG